Molecule: ribosomal RNA, 253 nt
Filed under: uncultured bacterium
Lineage: Bacteria
Description: partial 16S ribosomal RNA
Rfam family: Bacterial small subunit ribosomal RNA
Source: RNAcentral
UACGUAGGGGGCAAGCGUUGUCCGGAUUUAUUGGGCGUAAAGAGCGUGUAGGCGGUUAGGUAGGUCCGUUGUGAAAACUCGAGGCUCAACCUCGAGACGUCGGCGGAAACCAUCUGGCUAGAGUCCGGAAGAGGAGAGUGGAAUUCCUGGUGUAGCGGUGAAAUGCGCAGAUAUCAGGAAGAACACCCGUGGCGAAGGCGGCUCUCUGGGACGGUACUGACGCUGAGACGCGAAAGCGUGGGGAGCGAACAGG